GAUGAACGCUGGCGGCGUGCCUAAUACAUGCAAUUCUAGCGAACGGACGAGAAGCUUGCUUCUCUUAUGUUAGCGGCGGACUGGUGAGUAACACUUGGAUAACCUACCUAUAAGACUUGGAUAACUUCGUGAAACCGGAUCUAAGACCUGAUAAUAUUUUUAACCACAUGGUUCAAAAUUAAAAGACUUUCUUGCUGUCACUUAUAGAUGUAUCCGCGCUGCAUUGGCUAGUUGGUAAGGUAACGGCUUACCAAGGCAACGAUGCAUAGCCGACCUGCGAGGGUGAUCGGCCACACUGGAUUUUGGACACGGUCCAGCCUCCUACGGUAGGCAGCAGUCGGGAAUCUUACGCAAUGGGCGAACGCAUGACGGACCACAGCCGCGUGAGUGAUGAAGGUCUUCGGAUCGUAAAACUCUGUUAUUAGGGAAGAACAUAUGUGUAAGUAAAUGUGCACAUCUUGACGGUACCUAAUAAGAAAGCCACGGCUAACUACGUG
Molecule: ribosomal RNA, 497 nt
Filed under: uncultured bacterium
Lineage: Bacteria
Description: partial 16S ribosomal RNA
Rfam family: Bacterial small subunit ribosomal RNA
Source: RNAcentral